UCGCCAUCAGCUGAUUGAUUGAC
This 23-nucleotide non-coding RNA is filed under the name Arabidopsis thaliana (thale cress). Lineage: Eukaryota; Viridiplantae; Streptophyta; Magnoliopsida; Brassicales; Brassicaceae. The record is from RNAcentral.